GCCAGGCAUGGUGGUGCAUGCCUGUAAUCCCAGCUACUUGGGAGGCUGAGGCAGGAGAAUCACUUGAACCCAGGAGGCGGAGGUUUUGGUGAGCCGAGAUCUCUCCACUACACUCCAGCCUGGGUGACAGAGUGAGACUCUGUCUCAA
Molecule: unclassified non-coding RNA, 148 nt
Organism: Macaca fascicularis (crab-eating macaque)
Lineage: Eukaryota; Metazoa; Chordata; Mammalia; Primates; Cercopithecidae
Rfam family: Metazoan signal recognition particle RNA
About the family: The signal recognition particle (SRP) is a universally conserved ribonucleoprotein. It is involved in the co-translational targeting of proteins to membranes. The eukaryotic SRP consists of a 300-nucleotide 7S RNA and six proteins: SRPs 72, 68, 54, 19, 14, and 9.
Source: Ensembl